UGUUGGUAGUAAGUAAAAUUUAUGAAAUCAUAAAAUUUUGGCGGUAUUUUAAGCUUGUUAGAGGAAUUUGCUCUAUAAUGGAUACAACGCCUAUAUCUUACUUAAUUUUGUAAUUAAAGUCAGUUUGUAUACCACUAUAUUUAAUUAUAUUGAAUAAUUAUAUUUAAGAUUUUUAUAUAAAUAUAUAUUAAGUCAAGGUGCAACAAAUAAUUAUGAGUGAAGUGAAUUACAUUAAUUUUAAUGAUAUUUUGAUACUGAAAAAAAAAGUUAGGAUUUAAUAGUAAAAUAUUAAU
This 293-nucleotide ribosomal RNA is filed under the name Ixodes ricinus (castor bean tick). RNAcentral's name for it is "partial 12S ribosomal RNA". The record is from RNAcentral. Lineage: Eukaryota; Metazoa; Arthropoda; Arachnida; Ixodida; Ixodidae.